RNAcentral lists this ribosomal RNA (1540 nucleotides) under Staphylococcus aureus. RNAcentral describes it as "16S ribosomal RNA". It matches the Rfam family "Bacterial small subunit ribosomal RNA". The record is from RNAcentral. Lineage: Bacteria; Bacillati; Bacillota; Bacilli; Caryophanales; Staphylococcaceae.
AGAGUUUGAUCCUGGCUCAGGAUGAACGCUGGCGGCGUGCCUAAUACAUGCAAGUCGAGCGAACGGACGAGAAGCUUGCUUCUCUGAUGUUAGCGGCGGACGGGUGAGUAAUACGUGGAUAACCUACCUAUAAGACUGGGAUAACUUCGGGAAACCGGAGCUAAUACCGGAUAAUAUUUUGAACCGCAUGGUUCAAAAGUGAAAGACGGUCUUGCUGUCACUUAUAGAUGGAUCCGCGCUGCAUUAGCUAGUUGGUAAGGUAACGGCUUACCAAGGCAACGAUGCAUAGCCGACCUGAGAGGGUGAUCGGCCACACUGGAACUGAGACACGGUCCAGACUCCUACGGGAGGCAGCAGUAGGGAAUCUUCCGCAAUGGGCGAAAGCCUGACGGAGCAACGCCGCGUGAGUGAUGAAGGUCUUCGGAUCGUAAAACUCUGUUAUUAGGGAAGAACAUAUGUGUAAGUAACUGUGCACAUCUUGACGGUACCUAAUCAGAAAGCCACGGCUAACUACGUGCCAGCAGCCGCGGUAAUACGUAGGUGGCAAGCGUUAUCCGGAAUUAUUGGGCGUAAAGCGCGCGUAGGCGGUUUUUUAAGUCUGAUGUGAAAGCCCACGGCUCAACCGUGGAGGGUCAUUGGAAACUGGAAAACUUGAGUGCAGAAGAGGAAAGUGGAAUUCCAUGUGUAGCGGUGAAAUGCGCAGAGAUAUGGAGGAACACCAGUGGCGAAGGCGACUUUCUGGUCUGUAACUGACGCUGAUGUGCGAAAGCGUGGGGAUCAAACAGGAUUAGAUACCCUGGUAGUCCACGCCGUAAACGAUGAGUGCUAAGUGUUAGGGGGUUUCCGCCCCUUAGUGCUGCAGCUAACGCAUUAAGCACUCCGCCUGGGGAGUACGACCGCAAGGUUGAAACUCAAAGGAAUUGACGGGGACCCGCACAAGCGGUGGAGCAUGUGGUUUAAUUCGAAGCAACGCGAAGAACCUUACCAAAUCUUGACAUCCUUUGACAACUCUAGAGAUAGAGCCUUCCCCUUCGGGGGACAAAGUGACAGGUGGUGCAUGGUUGUCGUCAGCUCGUGUCGUGAGAUGUUGGGUUAAGUCCCGCAACGAGCGCAACCCUUAAGCUUAGUUGCCAUCAUUAAGUUGGGCACUCUAAGUUGACUGCCGGUGACAAACCGGAGGAAGGUGGGGAUGACGUCAAAUCAUCAUGCCCCUUAUGAUUUGGGCUACACACGUGCUACAAUGGACAAUACAAAGGGCAGCGAAACCGCGAGGUCAAGCAAAUCCCAUAAAGUUGUUCUCAGUUCGGAUUGUAGUCUGCAACUCGACUACAUGAAGCUGGAAUCGCUAGUAAUCGUAGAUCAGCAUGCUACGGUGAAUACGUUCCCGGGUCUUGUACACACCGCCCGUCACACCACGAGAGUUUGUAACACCCGAAGCCGGUGGAGUAACCUUUUAGGAGCUAGCCGUCGAAGGUGGGACAAAUGAUUGGGGUGAAGUCGUAACAAGGUAGCCGUAUCGGAAGGUGCGGCUGGAUCACCU